CCUACGGGAGGCAGCAGUGGGGAAUAUUGCGCAAUGGGCGAAAGCCUGACGCAGCGACGCCGCGUGAGGGAUGAAGGUCUUCGGAUCGUAAACCUCUGUCAGCAGGGAAGAACGGUCACUGUGCUAAUCAGCAGUGAAUUGACGGUACCUGCAAAGGAAGCACCGGCUAACUCCGUGCCAGCAGCCGCGGUAAUACGGAGGGUGCGAGCGUUAAUCGGAAUUACUGGGCGUAAAGCGCUCGUAGGCGGUAUGUCAAGUCAAGGGUGAAAUCUCCGCGCUCAACGUGGGAACUGCCUUUGAGACAGGGAAACUGGAGUGUGUGAGAGGAUAGUGGAAUUCCAGGUGUAGGAGUGAAAUCCGUAGAUAUCUGGAGGAACAUCAGUGGCGAAGGCGACUAUCUGGCACAUAACUGACGCUGAGGAGCGAAAGCGUGGGUAGCAAACAGGAUUAGAUACCCGAGUAGU
RNAcentral lists this ribosomal RNA (464 nucleotides) under uncultured bacterium. RNAcentral's name for it is "partial 16S ribosomal RNA". It matches the Rfam family "Bacterial small subunit ribosomal RNA", at positions 338 to 794 of the family's 1533-position model. The record is from RNAcentral.